UCUGGUCCGUGGGAUGUCAACCCCAGACCGGAGUGCCAUGCCAGCCUGGACGGCGUGGAGCUGAGGGUGGCUGAGGGCAGACGGUGGAGUGGACAAGCAGGGUGGACACGGGGGAAACAGAAUGAAUCAGAAGGGAUGCGGAGGUUCGGCUCUGCACCGGCCCCUUUGUGUGACUAAAUUUGGCAAGAAUAUGGAUCCCAGCCAGUCUUUCCACGUGUGCUCCCAGCUCCCAGCUGAGAAGGCCAAGGGUUCUCUUCCGGGAAAACCAGUUCAGCUAUAAAGAGAACCACUCAGUACAGCGGAGCAAGAUCAGGCAAUGUUUCCCGGAGAAGAGCUGUUUACCAUCAAAGAGACUGCUUCCAACAGACACGAGAUAUUAUAUACAAAGAUGGAGUGUGCUUGUGUGGACGUCUGCUACAUGUGUGCAGGUACUGGUGAAGGACUGUGGGAGGCAUCGGAUUCUCUACUGCUGGAGUCACAGACAGUUCAAAGACUGAAAAGAGCAGACAACAUAAGCCUGGUCUGGAGUUGGUGACCUGAACGAAGAGAGAAAAGUGCACAGGAGGAAAAAAAGGACGCAUGUACCAUCAUCUAUGACAUAUGACAUUUUAAUGACUAAUAAAUAAGGAUUGUAUUUUCAUAAUAGCUACAAGUCCUUGCUCCAAAAAGCACAAAGUUCCAGAAAUGGACCUUCAUCUCCACCAGGAUGAACGAACCAGUCACGGCAGCAUCCAGCACAUUGAUAGAGCUUCGUGCUGAAGCUCUUGGGGUAGUGGUAAUUAAACACAGUUUUUUGGUUACUCCUGUCCUAUAUCCUGCACUAUGUUGAUUAACCUGUUUAAUGAGUAUACAAGAAUGGCCAAAGCUGCCCUCACAUCAAAGAGCCCCAUUGUUGCUGUGUGCUGACCUGAAUUUUAAUUGCCUACCAGGUUCGUUAAUUGCACCAGAGAUGUGUGAGAGAAUGGAGUCGCUUUUUCAAGCUGCAUUCCCAGCUGUGUUCAGUUCAGUUAUGGUAUCCUGCUGAAUAGCUAGACACUGGUUUACACACCCAGGCUCAGAGCACCUCCCCCAUCCCCCACCCUGCCCUACCCCCCCAGAUUCACAGUUUAGCAGCUACCUUUGAUAAGGAUGGCAGUGGUGACUGGUUUAAUUUACAUGAUAAAACUUAUUCUUAUAAGUUAUUAAACAUCACAAAGGGGCUGGGGUGUGCAUAAGGUCUGUAAAGAAGUCAAUAGUGAAUACAUUAGGAUCCAAAUAGUCUUUGUGAUUCCUAUAAGGGCUCGGCUGCCCUGAGAAUCAUUAGAGGCAGCUAUGGCUUCCUUAUUGAGUACAGACAUCAAGGAUCAACUGUUAAUCCAAGCUACAGGUACCCACAGUAGUAAAUAGAUAGCUAGUUCUUAAGUGAUAAUAUUGAAUUUUGUGUUUGUUUUUUUCAAAGACAGGGUCUCGCUCUGUAACGCAAACUCAGGCAAUCUUCCUACCUCAGCCUUCUGGCUGCUGGAAUUACAGUGGUGUUACAGCCGUAAACCACCAUACCUAUGAAAACCAGACCAAAUACUCUCCCCUACCCUCUAUAAAAACAAAAACAAUCCCCCUAACUCAAUUUUGUUGACUGCCAUCUUUCCAAUUUCUCUUUAUUUUGGCAAACAAUUUACAGAGUUGCAUUCAGCUAUUCACUUUCUGUGGAGGACUGGUGGGUGUGGCCGACAGUCUCGCCUCUGACCUGAGUGCCCCAGCCAGAAGGAUGAAGAUGUUCCGAACAAAGAUUUGAUCGUGGUUUAAACAAACACACAGC
This is a non-coding RNA of Myodes glareolus (Bank vole), 1795 nucleotides long. The record is from RefSeq and is a predicted model, not a curated record. Lineage: Eukaryota; Metazoa; Chordata; Mammalia; Rodentia; Cricetidae.